RNAcentral lists this transfer RNA (76 nucleotides) under Herpetosiphon sp. RNAcentral's name for it is "tRNA-Thr". It matches the Rfam family "tRNA". Rfam says of the family: Transfer RNA (tRNA) molecules are approximately 80 nucleotides in length. Their secondary structure includes four short double-helical elements and three loops (D, anti-codon, and T loops). RNAcentral also lists the same sequence under 3 other names. The record is from RNAcentral. Lineage: Bacteria; Bacillati; Chloroflexota; Chloroflexia; Herpetosiphonales; Herpetosiphonaceae.
GCCCUUGUAGCUCAGUUGGCAGAGCACACCCUUGGUAAGGGUGAGGUCACGGAUUCGAGUUCCGUCAAGGGCUCCA